RNA transcript from Loxodonta africana (African savanna elephant), 18769 nucleotides. It is a transcript of the gene named RNA binding motif protein 12B, with no coding region annotated. NCBI's taxonomy places the organism in Eukaryota, Metazoa, Chordata, Mammalia, Proboscidea, Elephantidae. The transcript is spliced from 4 exons. The record is from RefSeq and is a predicted model, not a curated record.
UAGAAAAAAAAGCAGGGGCUAUUUCAAACAGUGUGGUUCAAACUGAUUUAAUAGUGAAACGUGAAAUCAGUUUAUGAGAUCAAGAAAUAGAAUAGCACAGGAAAGAAAUUAUCUUAUUGUGUCUUAUACAUAAGGUCGUCAUGAGUAGGAGCACACUGGAUGGCAAACAUUGUUUCAUAAAACCGUUAAGUUAAAUAUUAAUUUACACCCGAAUUUAACCAACCCAAACCAACCCGUGGCCGUCUAGUCGAUUCCGACUCAUAGCGAACCUAUAGGGCAGGGUAGAACCGUCCCACAGGGUUUCCAAGGAGUGUCUGGUGGAUUUGAAUUGUUGACAUUUUGGUUAGCAGCCUUAGCUCUUAACCACUACGCCACCGGCGUUUUCCAGAACUUAUCCAGACUGAGUAAUUUUCAUGUGGAAGAAGACAUUCCAACUAUGCAUUUAUUACUAUGGAUAAGAUCAAAAAAGUAUCAAUAACAUUUAAAAUAUGCAAUGCUGGAAAAUUGCUAUGCCUGAAGCACGAAAAAAACAAAACAAGGGAAAAAAAAAAAAAACCUGCCAGAAGUUUGUUUUUUUACUUCCCUUGCUUUGAGCAUUGGAAAUUGUGUAUAUGGAAUGAGACCCUCUUUAUACCGCUGUGAAUAAAGUAGGAAUCUAAAUUUUUAUCAGAUUUGCACAUAUAUGAAUGUUCUUUCAAAGUAGUCACCCUUGAGGCAGUUACCUGCAACAUAUUGGAAUUACCUUCAGAGCCAGUGUACGGGACACAAAAGAAAAACUCAUUUCUUUAUUUUAUUUUUUUGGCUUUAACCAAGAGAAAUUUAUUUUCUCACAGUUUAGUAGGCUACAAGUCCGAAUUCAGGGUGUCAGACCCAGGAGAAGGCUUUCUCUUUGUUGGCUCUGGAGGAAGGUCCUUGUCGUUAAUCUUCCCUUGGUCCAGGAGCUUGUCAGUACAGAAACCCUGAGUCCAAAGGACUCGUUAUUCUUCUGACUCUUGUUUCUUGGUGGUAUGAGGUCCCUCAUUUCUUUAUAUUUAAACUGCAUUUCUGUUUUUGCUGUUUUUUUGACUGCUGUAUUUUGUCUCUUCAAUAAAAUCAUCCUAGCCUAUUUUUAGCCACCUUUUCAUCAGUGGUAACUUCAAAUGAUUUUUGACUUUUUCAAAAAAAACAAAUUUUGUAAUAAAAAUGGUUUAUCACUAUUAAGAUAUGGAUAAUGCAUUUAAGAAAGUUAAAUAACUUUACUAACCACCAUUGUUGUUGCAUGCUGUUGUGUUGAUUCUGACACAUAGUGACAGGAUAGGACAGGUAGAACUGCUCCAUGCGUUUUCCUAGGCUGAAAUCUUUAUGGGAGCAGAUUUCCGGGUCUUUUCUCCACAGAGCCGCUGGUGGGUUUGAACCGCUGACCUUAAAGGUAGCAGGCCAGCACUUAACCAUUGUGCCGCCAGAGCUCCAUUACCAUUACCCCAUGUGGCCUUCCCCAAAAGACCAGCAUUCACCCAGUUCUAAUCUCUGGCACAGCAAGUGUAUGUUUUGAAAACUGUUUCUAAGAGGAACUCCAAAAAUGUGUUUGAGGUUAGAAUUAAAAAAAACAUGUGACCAUGCAACAAACCCAUGUGACCACAGAGACUCAGAAAAGGCAUGGUUAGAAUAGUUAGAAUAGUUGGGAUUAAUCUGCAAAAGCUUCCUAUGGGUGAGUUUUAAAUCUAGGCUUCCCUGAUGAAGUGCAUAUUGCUCAUAUGCUCUGUGGCAGGGAUUAAAGCAAUAUUUGCUCAUUGUCUACUAUAUAAUUUAAUAAUAAUAAAAAGUUCCCAUUUAUUACUGACCUUCUUUGUCUUCCACACUGUGCACUGUGCUAGUCGCUUGGCACCAUUAAUCUUAACUGUUCAUAACAACCCUUUGAGGGAGAACUACCCCUGUUUAUUAAAAAAAAAAAAAAAUAGACAGGAUCAAAAAAUGUUAGUAGUUCCACUGUUUUAGGAAUUAGUGAAACUAGGAUUUAUCUCCAUUUGGCCAACUGCAAAACCCACUAUGUUUUCACAGUAUUAAGUGUCUUCUUUGUGGAAUAAAUGUAAAAAAUUUUGGCAUAUUCCACAUGUGGAAUAAACCAUUAAUCUUUAGCUAACAAGGUGGUACUGCCAUUAUAUACCACAGACAGCGGCACUAUGAUUGUGUAAGAGCUUUGAACACUGUACCUAACAAACUGCCCUAAUAACUACAUGGAGAGUUUAUCUGUAACAGAAGCACUUGAAAUAGACAAACACAGUUAAGUUUGCGAUAACUGCAGAUACUAUGAGUUCAUCUCUGUAAAGUGGCUCUGUAAACUGGCAGAAAAGAAUGUUAGCUAAAAUUGUUUAAGCAUAAGUUGGGGCUGUAUUGUUAGGGAUUUUUUUCUUUUUUUUUUUUUUUUACUGUGUAUUUUGAAUAUUAUAGAAGUACCAUUCAUAGAUAAAUUUCACUUUAUAGGAAGUAUUUAACCAAAAAAUUGUUCUUAUCACUGUUAUGGUAAUAUAAUUUUCGACAUGCAGUAAGAAACACAGUGACUUUUAUAAAAUAAAACAUGGUGGAAUUUUUAAAAAUUGGUAAUUUGGAGUUGGAGGGAAGAGUGAGCUUGUCCUUUUAGGUUUUUGAUGGGGAAGGAUUAAAUUAAAAAAAAAAAAAAUCUGUUGUCAUUGAGUUGGUUCCUAUUCAUGGCGACCCUAAAGCACAGAGUAGAACUGCCCCAUAGAGUUUCCAGGAAGUGCCUGAUAGAUUUGAACUGCUGACCUUUUGGUUAGCAGCCAUAGCUGUUAACCACUGUGUCACCAGGGUUUCUUGGGGAAGGAUAGAUGCCUACAAAAAACUGAUGAGCAGGGCAUGCCUAGAAUCAUAUAGCUGAUGAUGCUGGAGAAAAUACCAGAAACUGUUCUUGCCCUAGAGUAACAUGGCUCAACUCCAGCACAACCUUCCUAAAGGGCACUCAUUAAUGUGCAUUUAAAUAAUAUUUAGACAUAUUUGUUUUCCAAUAAAAAGUUUAAAUUUGACCAACUUAUAAGAGUAUUACUUCUAAGGCCUACGAGCUGAAUCUGAAGUUCACCUGCAUGCAGAAAAGAAAAACAAAAAAAAUUUUUUUUAGGUAAGAAAUUGAUUUUGAAGUGAUCAAAAUACUUAUGUUAAAUAUCCGUAGUUAGAAACAACCAGCAUGUAAUUUAGCAGUUGGAAAAAAUACCAUUUUGAGCUAGAAAUACGGAGAGUUGAUAUAUUAUUUAAGAAUGCAGAGCCAUACUUGAAACACACUUGAACUGAUUAUUAUAAUAAAGAGUAACAGCAGCAUUCAAUGAUGAUAAAGAUAUUUUUUUUUUUAUUUAGGGUUGCUAUGAGUCAGAGGAAACCCCAGUGGCAUGGUGGUUAAGUGCUAUGGCUGCUAACCAAAAGGUCAGCAGUUCAAAUCCACCAGGCACUCCUUAGAAACUCUAUGGGGCAGUCCUACUCUGUGUUAUAGGGUCGCUAUGAGUUGGAAUAGACUCAACCACAAUGGGUUUGGUUUUUUUCUUGGAUGAGGUGGAAUGGACUCGAUGGCAACAGGUGUGUGUGUGUGUGCGUGUGUGUGUGUAUGCGUGUGUGUGUGUAUUGACACCAUUGGAAACCCUGGUGGUGUAGCAGAAUUUGAAUUGAUUUGAUGGCAAUGAAUUUGUUUGUUUUUUGUUUUUUAUUGUCACUAUUUGAUAUCAACAUCUGAUUUUCAUUCUGAUAUAUGCAAAAAAAUUUUUUUUUAACUUUUUUCUGACAUCCAGUCUUUGAGUAACCAAUGACACAAAGGGAAACACUUAUUCCACAAAUUAUAUGUACAUUAAUCAAAUCAUUCUGUGAUAUUUUACUUAGCCUAUAAAUAUGUAUUUAUUGUUUAAUUGCCUAGAUUGAAAUCCACCUCCUAUCAAUAUCAUAAAGGCUUUCCUUGUUGAUGACUUCAUUUUUAACAAAGUCAGGUAACUGUUAAAACUUCAAAGCUUUUGAAGGUUCUAUUUUGAGACUACCACUGGAAAACAUUGCUAGCAACUUACUGAUUCUUUGUGAACUUAGGGAAAUAAUUUUCUGUUGAAGUGUACCUCUCAAAAACAGAUAAUCUAGAACAAAAUUUAUAGCAGCAUGGAUCCAAAAAGUGAUUUUUUAAAAACUCUGUUGCUAGGUGUCAUCAAAUCCAAAGUCUGUUCCAACUCAUCGUGACCCUAUCGGGCAUAGUAGAACUGCCCCAAAGGGUUUCCAAGGAGUGACUGGUGGGUUUGAACUGUGGACCUUUAGGUUAGCAGCCUAGCUCUUAACCACUACACCACCAGGGAAUCAUUUGAAAAGGGAUCUUGGAAAGAAACCUAAUAGUAUGUAAUGCGUAUUUAUAAAUUUAUGAGUUUAUCUAAAUUAUCUAUCAAAAAUAACACACAUAAAUAUACGUGAAAUGUUUAUAAAUUCUCAAGACCGAGGACCAAGUCAACCGUGGGAAUAACUUUCUCUUAAAAAAAAAAAAAAAUCCCUGAGUUUGAAGCCUUUCAGUAGUGACAUAGGAGACACACAGUUAUAAAGAAAAUGUAUGCCUUCAUCUGUCAAAGUCAAAACUACAAAAUUUGCUGACUUGGUUGCCUUCUGCCCCUCCAUUCCUCUAUUCCUACCUGCCUCACUUCCCUCCUCUCCCUCCUCUUUCUCUCCCUUCCCCUGCUUCCCUCCCUUCCAAAGGUUAUUAUGUAACAAUUCAGUCAGAGCAUCUCUUAGGCAUUAUGGUGGGUACAAAGGAAAGUUCAAGAAACUUGUAAUCUCACCAAGUUAAGGUAACAUAAAAAUCUUAUUUCUUAAAAAAAAAAAAAAAAAGUAAAAAAAUAUCGCCUUCAAAAUAUGGAAUACUUAAUUCAUCUUUACUUUAUAAUUGUAUUGAAAUUAAAACUAAUAUGUUCAAAUAUUUGGUUUUUCACUCCAAGACCAAUAAAAAUGAGAAUGCCACUAUGAGAAAAUGGCAUGUAUUAUAAUGAUAUUGUUUAUUGCUAGGCAACUGAAUUGCUUCAAGGGAAAUUUAACCCAUUUGACUUUUCGAAAGUUCUGUGUCUCAGAGAGAAAACAAUGUAUUUGAUAGAUGUGAGACAGAAGGCAGGAAGAAAUUUAAAAACUGGGUUUUGUUGUGAAACACUAAUAAUUUUUACCUUUUUAUGUAAAACCAAAAAACCACAUCUGUUGCCCUCAAGUCACUUCCAGUUAAUAGCGAUGCUAUAGGACAGAGUUGAACUGCCCCAUAGGGUUUCCAAAGCUGUAAUCUUUUUUUUUUUUUAAUUGUACUUGAGAUGAAGUUUUACAGAACAAACUAGUUUCUCAUUAAACAAUUAGUACACAUACUGUUUUGUGACAUUGGUUACCAAGCCCACAACAUGUCAACACUCUCUCUUCUUGCUCUUGGAUUCUCAAUCACCAGCUUUCCUGUCCCCUCCUGCCUUCUAAUCCUUGCCCCUGGGCUGGUGUGCCCUUUAGUCUUGUUUUGUUUUAUGGGCCUGUCUAAUCUUUGGCCGAAGGGUGAACCUCAGGAGUGACUUCAUUACUGAGCUAAAAGGAUGUCCAGGGGCCAUACUCUUGGGGUUUCUCCAGUCUGUCAGGCCAGUAAGUCUGGUCUUUAUUGUGAGUUAGAAUUUUGUUCUACAAUUUUUUCCAGCUCUGUCCGGGACCCUCUAUUGUGAUCCCUGUCAGAGCAGCCAAUGGUGGUAGCCAGGUACCAUCUGGUUGUGCUAGACUCAGUCUGGUGGAAUCUUUGGUAGUUGUGGUCUACUAGUCCUUUGGACUAAUCUUAUAUCUUUGGUUUUCUUCAUUCUCCCUUGCCCCCAACAGGGUGAGACUAGUGGAGUAUCUUAGAUGACUGAUCACAAGCUUUGAAGACCCUAGAUGCUACUCACCAAAGUAGAAUGUAGAACAUUUUCUUUAUAAACUAUGUUAUGUCAGUUGAGCUAGAUGUUCCCCAAGACCAUGGUCUCCACAGCCCUCAGCCCAGUAAUUCAGUCUCUCAGGGAGUUUGGAUGUGUCUAUGGAGCUUCCGUGACCUUGCCUUAGACAGUUGUGUACUGUCUUACCCUUCACCAAAGUUAGCACUUAUCUAUUGUGUUUUUCCAUCCCCACCCCUCCCUUCCCUUGUAACCAUCAAAGAUUGUUUCUUUUUGUGUGUAAACCUUUUCAUGAGUUUUUAUAGUAGCGGUCUCAUACAAUAUUUGUCCUUUUGUGAUUGACUUAAUUCACGCAGCAUGAUACCCUCCAGAUUGAUCCAUGUUGUAAAAGGUUUUGCAGAUUUAUCAUUAUUCUUUAUUGUUUCAUAGUACUCCAUUGUGUGAAUGUACCGUAGUUGGUUUAUCCAUUCAUCUGUUGAUGGGCACCUAGGUUGUUUCCAUCUUUUUGCUAUUGUGAACAAUGUUGCAAUGAACAGGGGUGUGCAUAUGUCUAUUCGUGUGACAGCUCUUAUUUCUCUAGGAUAUAUUCCUAGGAGUGGGAUUGCUGAAUCAUAUGGUAUUUUUAGCUUUCUAAGGAAGUGCAUAUCAUUUUCCAUAGUGGUUGUACCAUUUUGCAUUCCCGCUAGCAGUGUAUAAGAGUUUCAGUCUCCCUGCAGCCUCUCCAAAAUGUUAUUUUCUGUUGUUUUGAUUUGUGCUAGUAAUGUGGGGAUGAAAUGGUAUCUAAGUGUGGUUUUGAUUUGCAUUUCUCUAAUGGAAACCCUGGUGGUGUAGUGGUUAAGCACUAUGGCUGUUAGCCAAAAGGUCGGCAGUUUGAAUCCACCAGGCACUUCUUGGAAGCUCUACGGGGCAGUUCUACUCUGUCCUAUAGGGUUGCUAUGAGCCGGAAUCAACUCGACAGCAGUGGGUUUGGUUUUUUUGGGUUUUAAUGGCUAGUGAUGCAGAGCAUUUCCUCAUGUGUCUGUUAGCUACUUGAAUGUCUUCUCUGGUGAAGUGUCUGUUCAUUUCUUUUGCCUGUUUUUUUUAAUUGGAUUGUCUUUUUGUUGUACAGGUGUUGGAUUUUCCUGUAGGUUUUACAGAUUAGACCUUUGUUGGAUUUGUAAUAGCCCCCAACUUUUUCCCAGUCUGUAGGUUCUUUUUACUCUUUUGGUGAAGUCUUUUGAUGACCAUUAAGUAUUUAAUUUUUAGAAGAUCCCAGUUAUCUAGCUUAAUUUUUUUUUUAGCUAUGGUUUGUAUCCUGUUAAUGCCAUAUAUUAGGGUCUCUAGCGUUGAUCCUGUAUUUUCUUCUAUGGUCUUUAUAGUUUUUGGUUUUCUGUUUAGGCCUUUGGUCCAUUUUGAAUUAUUUUUGUGUAUGGUGUGAGGUAUGGGUCCUGUUUUAUUUUUUUACAGAUGGACAUCCAGUUUUGCCAGCACCAUUUCUUAAAAAGACUGUCUUUUCUCCAUUUGAUAGACUUUGGGCCUUUGUCAAAGAUCAGGUGACAACUGUACUUUUUGCUUCCCAAUGUUCAGGAUUAGGCCAUCUGGUCUCCUUUCAAAAAACCUGAGGGUGGGAACAACACAUUUAUAAAGGCACUUCUUCAUGAAGUUAUUAAUGUCUAUAAAAUUGACUAAACACGCACUUAUUAAGCCCCUGGAUGUUGGCAUUGUACCAGGCGAACAUGUAAGGUAGUAAGACUAACAUUCCUGUGGCCUUUUACAGUUUACAAAAAGCGGCUUCAGAAGAUGCUUAUGUUGCACGGUAACAACAGCACUGAAAUGGCAAAGAUAGCGGCAACUUUUCUGUUUAUUUGCAUCGCUUUCCUUAUUUUUAUUUUAUUUUUUUUCCUUAACUCCCGGACACCUCGAACGUUUAUCUCCUGUAGUUUGGCAGUUAUUUGUUGAAGUUUCCAGUACUCCAGUCGCUUGACCCCUUGUUUCUGAAUUCUGCCUUUUCCGGGUCAAGGCUCAAGGAUUGGGAGUAAUAUGAGCAUGCGCAUAAACUCAGGAACGCGGGACCGCUUGGCGCGUUCGCCAGGCCCAGCCUCCCGCCCCUUAACGAGCGGAAGCGGGUUGGCGACAGUGCGCGUGCGCAAACGCCGCUGAGCCGCUAGGGUAGUUGGUUAUUCCUGGAGAGCGCAUGGGCAAACUACGUCCGUUUGUCCGGACCGGAGGGGUGAGCGGCGCCAUUUUCUUCAACGCUCACUGAGGUCCCUACGCGUUUUGUGGAGGCUGCUGCGACGGGGAGUGUCCUCCUCAUACACAGCCUUGUGUGUCCAACUCGACAGCAGUGGUGUGUGUUUAUUGUCAAGUGCGAAGCAGUACCCUUUGGGCGUCGAGGGUGGGGGAAGGAUUGGCGACUAGACGGAAGAACAGGGAAAGGCGGGGCCGGGGGCCGCGCCAGACCUAGAGUAGCUUCUGUUGUGAGGGCACUUACUGUUUUUGCCUAACGUCGACUCUCCCGUCAGCUUGCAUGUGGUGGUGUUUGUGUUCGUGCGCGCGCUUCCCAGCGAUCUUGAGAUUGAAGAUUUCGAAGGAUUUUAUAGUUAAGUUGAUUUUACAGAAUUAACAGGUCUCCAAGAAAUUAAAAAAGGCACUGGUCACAUGGCAGUUGUAAAAUGGGCAUUUUAUGAGGACAAAUGAAAUCCAAAAGAUAACUGGAAUAAAAACAGUUGCAAAGGCUUUCUGCAGCAAAACCUUCAUAUUAUACAAAGUUUUUCCUAUAUCACCAUUCACUUCCCUCUUAUUUUUAUUUCUCCUAUUUACAUCUAGUAAUUGACUUUGUGAUCAAAAAAAGAUCUGACUAAAAUGUAUGCCAUUAUGUACUCUGAUACCACGCAGCUUAAGUAUUAGAACAGUUCUGAAGCUGAUAUUUUAGCAACUCCAGGUGAUGUUUAAACAACAGAAAACUGAUUAGGCAGGAACCACAUUCCAUCAUAUUUGUGAGUAUAUGCUACUUGUAUUCUCUAACCACCAAGGAUUAUUUGGUAAUAAUGAUAUUCCUACCACUAAUAACAAUACCAUACAUUUACAUAGAGCUUUUCCAGUUUACAAAUUUAUGACUUGCCUAAUGUUGCUCACAGAAUAUAAAACCUAGACCUGAUUCUUCUAAGGUUCUAGCUCUUGCCCACUGCACUGUGCUGUUCUUGCUAGAAUCAUUUUCUUCACAAACUGUGCAGGUACACUUCUUAAGAGUGAUAAAGACUUGUGACAAAGAAGAUCAUGAGCAAAGAGAAUGAAUGAAGAUAUGCAAGUUGAUAUAGGCAGGGGUAAGAUAGUCAGGUAGGGAAAGGAUACAAACCAGAGACAUUUUCAGUAAAAUAGGAUCUUAUCCUUUUGUUAAUUUCCUUGUUCUAUAUGAAAAUCAAAGCCAAAGCAUUAACAUAGAGCAAACUGGGCAGAAUGAGAAUGGGAACAGGGAGAAAAUACCCAAGUACUGUCCUUAAAAAGACAAGAUGGAAGAGAAGGGCUAAGUUAGAAGGCAAUAGUCAAAUACCCAUUUCUCUUCAUCCCUGCUCUCCUGAGACAACCACCUAAACAGGAGUGGUCCUGUACUUUGAAAUAAAGCUAUAUAGAUAUCUAUCCGGGUUCUGUGAUUUCUCCAUCUCUAUUUAUUCAUCAGGGUGGUGUAGUGGUUAAGUGCUAUGGCUGCUAACCAAAGGGUCAGCAGUUCAAAUCUGCCAGGCGCUCCUUGGAAACUCUAAUGGGCAGUUCUACUCUGUCCUAUAGGGUCGCUAUGAGUCGGAAUUGACUCGAUGGCACUGGGUUUGGUUUGGUUUAUUCAUCAGGAAAAACCAAACAUUAGAAGAGAACACUGUGUUUGGUAGAGGGACGAAGAAAGGAGGAAAACUCUCAGUGACACAAUAUCCACAACGGCUGACUCAAACAUGCCAAUGAUGAUGAAGACGGCACAGGACUGGGCAAUGUUUCACCCUGUUAUACACAAGGUCACCAUCAGUCAAAGCUGAUUGACAGCAACUAAUAACAAUUCUUUCCUAAACAAUUAGGAAAAUAACAAGCUUCUGAUUGUUACUCAAUGGAAACAGGUAUGUAGUUGAAAGUAUCUUUUCUUGGCUGCUAGGCACUUUGAGUAUGACCAACAAUGACCCUUACUUUCACUUCAGAUAGGUCACAGAGGACUCUAGUGUAAUGGGCUGACAGCCAAUUAUUAUAAUAAACAUUAUGCCAAAACACUAUUUUGGAUUUUGUAAUCAAUCUCCAGAUAUCCAGGAAUAUGUUGGAAUGGCUAUUGACCAGGGCUGGAACUUACUCUCUUAGUUGUCAGCCUCCCUAAGGCAGUUGCUAACCAGAAAGGAGUCAAAUGCCUUUUAGAAGUGCCGAGGCUCUCAAAGACAAAUGGAAACACUGAGGACCUCUGUGUGGUUCUUUGAAGCCCAUUUCAGGUUAACAGGAAAAAUCAAGAACAGGCUUACAUCUUUCCUUCUGAAUAUUAAAUCCAGAUGUUCUCCAUACUUAGUGAAUAAUCAAUUAUAUAAAAAACAAUACAGAAUUAUUUUGACUUUCUUUUUAUCCAAGGCUAGAAUGGAACAUUUUGUUUUUCAAUUACUUAGGCUUAAGAGUAGAAUUACUGACAGCUUCUACAACAAAUAGUUGCGCUACAGCCACAGAAUAAGCCCCCAGACUUGUUUCGUUUAAGGUGAGGUCAGAGGGAGAUGGAAAACACACAUUUUAGAUUGUCAGUAAACUCCCUGUUUCAGUUUCUCUGUCUUCGGUGGAUAUUUAGAGAUCGUUUAUUUAGCCUACGUGGAGAGAGAAGGGGAAGGUACAAAAGUACCUGAGCAGUAAGUACAAUAGCUUCAAAAGAAACUGAAAAAAAAGCUUCAAAGGGUUAAGUCUAAAUCACUCAAGGAAGGUGGGUAUUAUUCCUAGUCUUAAAUAUUUGUUUCAUUCAUUGACAUUCUAUUUAGUAGACUGUCACGCUGUUUAAUAACCAGUGAAGUUCAAACAUUUGUAACCUCAUUAAACCUAAAUCUGUAGGUCUAGAAUUAAUUCAAAUCUAUUCAACUCUGGUAACUCUGGAACAUGCCAAAAUUUCAAAAUACUCAAUAUUUUUCAGAUAUUUGAAUAUAGUUAUUCCUGAUGCUUACAAUCUGUCAUUUCUAAACUAACAUAACUUUUUUAAUACUAGCAUUUUACAGGAGUUUUAGUCAUCCCCUUAGCUUUUAGGUAAGCCGUGAAAAAUAUGCAAAUAUAUUUGCCAAUGAAGAAAGGUACAUUAUUUUUGUUUAUUUAUAUCAUCUGAAAGGAGAUUCUACUAUGUGCUCAUUUUUAAAAAGACAAUGAUCAACUUUGACUAUGUUAGCAUUUUCCACUCUUAAAAUUCCAUUUUUUAUAAAAUACCUUUGUAAACAGAUAUUUUUACACUAGUACUAAAAAGAUAUGAGGGCGGAAUCACUCAAACUUUGUGAUACUUUUUUUGGCUUCGCCCUUUAUGAUUUGAAUUUUUAUUUCUUUACAAAUCCUAAAUCAUAUACUUAUUUAAUACAGGAAUGGCCUUGUUAAUUUUUAUAUUGUUUAUUUUUCUGUUAAGAACAGGGAAUUGGUGGUACUGCUAAGCUAGUAUCCCAGACUUGGGAAGAUUAUUUGGAAGAGCGAAGACCCGGACAACAGUAGGGGAGGGAAAGCUGCCAGUUAGAUUCUUUUCCUUCUAGCUACAAUUUCAUAAAGUCUGCUGAAAACAGGUAGGAGGGAGGCAAAUAACAGCAAAGAGCAGACAAGUUUGAUGACAACUGGUAUAAGGAAAAAACAUAAAAGCAUCAUUCCAGCUCUGGCCCAUACCAACAUUGGAGCAAUCAUAGUUAUCUUCCCAAAAAGCUGUUCCUAUGAUCAAAUUUUCCAUAAAACCAGAAUAAAGCUCAGUUACUGAAAAGUUUUUGAAAUAAAAUAAUUGCAGUGAGUUGCCAGAAAGGGGUAGAACUUUCUAGGACCCAAUUACAUUUAGAAAUAAUUUUCCUCAAAUGUAGCUAACCUUCAACGAUCUCAUGUAAUCUCCUUAUGUGAACAGGUCAAUACAGUCAGGUGCAGAGGCAUUAAUGAGUUAUUUUUCUUUUUCAAUAUGUUGUUGUUAGUUGGAAACCCUGGUGGCAAAACGGUUAAGCCCUACGACCGCUAACCCAAAGGUCGGCAGUUCAAAUCCACCAGGUGCUCCUUGGAAACCCUAUGGAGCAGUUCUACUUUGCCCUAUGUGGUUGCUUUGAGUUGGAAUUGACUCGACGGCAACGGGUUUGGCUUUGGUUUUUGUUCGUUGCUGUUGAGUUGACUCUGACUCGCAGAAUCUGAAAUUCUGUAUAUAACCAUACAUAAGGCAGGGCUGCAUCAUAGCUAAGAAUACGGGCUUGGAUUAAGACCUGGGUUCAAACCAUGAACUGACAUACUAGCUAUGUAACGUUAGGCAGCUUAUCUGCUCUUUGCCUCAUAUUCCUCACCUGUACAAUGGGGAUAACAACAGUAUCAACCUCAUAGGUCUUGAUUAAAUGAGAUAAUUCAAGAAAAAAUAUAGCUUAGAGUAACUUUUCAACAAAUGUUAGCUAUUUUUGGUGCUCAAGAAGUAAACCAGCCAAAUUAGAAAAUGUUCCUUCGUCAAUAAUUUUAAAGUUUCUAUCUGGUUUGAUUAGCAAGCAAGCAAGAUCCUUAAUGAAAAAAGUUAUAAAAAAAUCCAGUUAACAUUUUGGCAAAGAGAGAAGAAAUGACAGCUCUCCAAACUUAACUCAGAGUAGAGGCUUUUUAAUAAAUGAUGUCUGGAGAACUUUCUAUCCAUCUGGAAAUAAUUAAGUUAGGUCCUUUACCCUAUGCAAAAGUAACUGCCAAAUAAAAUAAGUAUUUAAAACAUUAAAAAAUAAUACAAAUACCAAAAGAUAUAAGCAAAUAUCUAUAUAAUCUUGGGAGUGAAAACAACCUUUAUAAACAUGACAUCAAAAGCACAAACAAAAAAAGAACAAGAGCUAUGGCAACAAAAAAAAAAAACUUCAAGGUGGCAAAAACUCACCAUAAGCAGAACAUGGGAAAAUGUAUUUGCACCAUAUCUUCUCUUUAACAUAAAGAUUAAUUUCUCAAUAUAUAAAAAUUUUUUACAAAUUAAUAAGAAAAAUGCCAAACUCCAAUAAAUAUACAUGCUAAGGAGAAGUGUAAGUAAUUUACUAAAGAAGAAAUAAAAUUUGUCAUUAAAAAUAAAAACAAAAAAAUGCCCCACCCCAACAAUAACAACAAAUUAAGAUGAGAUACUGUUUGUUCACCUAUCAGAUUGGCUGUUAACAAAAAUACUAUUACUCAUUGCUGUUGCACUGGGGCACUCAUGCAGGGUUUGGUAGGAAUGUCAACUGUUGGAAUCUUUGUGGAGAGAAGUUUAAAAAUAAGUAUCAAAAUUUAAAGUGUGUAUGCUCUUUUGAACCAGCAACUCCACUUCUGGUAAUUUAUCCCAAGAGAAUAACUGAACAAGCCCAAAGACCAAUGAUUAAGGAUGUGUAAGGAUGCAAUGAUACCUAGUACUGCAAAAAUAACCUAGACGUCCAUCAUUGAGGACUGGUUAAAUAAAUUAAUAUGUCCAUAUAGCAAAAUACUAUGAGGAUAAGAAAAAAGAUAUGGUUCUCCUUUUCUGAGUGCAGAAGUAUGUCCGUGACAUUAAAUUUUAAAAAGAGAAAUGCUACAUUCAGUGUGGCCUAUUUAAAUAUAAUAUGGGAGUAAUAACAGUACCUUCCUCACAGAGAUGCUGUGAGGAGUCAAUGAUUUCAUGCACAUAAAAUGCUUGGAAGAAUGCCUGGCACAUGGUUAAUAUUUAAAGAAUGUUAUUAUUACCCAUGUUACCAAAUCUCUGUGUUUAUGUGCAUAGAAAAAAAUGUCUAGAAGGAUAUAAAACAAAAUGCUGGAUUAUGUUUGAGGGGUAGAAUUACAUUUUUCUCCAUAAUUUUAUAAAAAAAUUUUACGAUGAUUUCAUACUUCUUUUGUAAUAAAAAAAAAAGCCAUUAAAAAUUAAGUUUAGAAGAUGUUUCUUGCUCGUGUUGACUACUUUAUGACAUACUGAACUCCUAUUUUCAUCUGUUCCAGGAGUAACCCCUGAUCAAGAUCCUCUUUAUAGGUCUGAAGUUCCCUAUCACAUGGGACACAAACGUUCUUGUUAGCUGCCAUCAAGUCAGUUCCGACUCAUAGUAACCCUAUAUACAACAGAAUAAAACGCUGCCUGGUCCUGCACCAUCCUCACAAUCAUUGCUAUGCUUGAGCCCAUUUUUUAGCCACUGUGUCAAUUCAUCUCAUUGAGGGUCUUCCUCUUUUUUGCUGAUCCUCUAUUUUACCAAACAUGAUGUCCUUCUCUAGGGAUGGAUCUCUCCUAAUAACGUGUCCAAAGCAUGUGAGACGUAGUCUUGCCAUCCUUCUUUCUAAGGAGCACUCUGGCUGUACCUGUUCCAAGACAGAUUUGUUUUUUCUUUUGGCAAUCCAUGGUGUAUUCAAUAUUCUUUGCCAACACCAUAAUAUAAAGGCAUCAAUUCUUCGGUCCUCCUUAUUCACUGUCACAUGCAUAUGAGAUGACUGAAAACACCAUGGCUUGGGUCAGGCGCACCUUGUCUUCAAGGGGACAGCUUUGCUUUUUAACACUUUAAAGUGGCCUUUUGCAGCAGAUUUGCCCAAAGCAAUGCUUCAUUUGAUUUCCUGACUGCUGCCUCCACAGGUGCUGAUUGUGGUUCCAAGUAAAACGAUAUCCUUGACAACUUCAAUCUUUUCUCUGUUUAUCAUGAUGUUGCUCAUUGGUCCAGUUGUGAGGAUUUUUUUUUUUUUUUUUAUGUUGAGGUAAUCCAUACUGAAGGCUGUAGUCUCUGAUCUUUAUCACUAAGUGCUUCAAGCCCGCUUCACUUUCAGCAAGCAAGGCUGUAGCAUCUGCUUAACACAGGUUGUUAAUGAGUAUUCCCCCAAUCUUGAUGCCCCGUUCUUCUUUAUAUAGGAUUAAUGUGAUUUUUCUCCCUUAUUCUGUACACCAAAUUACAUACCAAUUCUUUCUUAGAAAGACAAAUUAUUUGCAAGGUUCUAUGCAAAAUCUUUCUCUGAAAAAAUCAGGCUACUUUGCUAGUUAAUGCAACUACCAAAAUUCAGAUGGACUUGUCCAUUAAACUCACCUUAAACAUGGUAAUGGAAUUACGAGCAAAGCUCACCACUGCUAAUCAUCUCUGCCCCUAUCUAAAGCAAUAGCCUGAUUACAGGCAAGAAUGUUGUUUCUACCAAAAUAUAAGUGGGAUUAGAAUUUUUGAUUUUUUGAAGGAUUUGUCUCACAAACAGAGGGCUGAAAUCCUCAUGGCAAUAUCUAAAUAUUUUUAUUAGAAAUAAGUGGGGCGGCCCUUUUUGAUUGCUCUUUGGAGAUAUUCAUUUCAUGCGAUUUCUGCCUCCCCUCAGUAUCAUAAAAGAUCCCCAAUGGGGUCUACCUUGAAGACGACACAAUUUGACGGUGAGGAGGAAAGAGAGGCAGACCAAAUUCAGAACCCUAACAGACAGAUUCUGUGGUACUGACUUCGGGAGCUCAUAUUUAUGGGAGUUUGCUAGAGCUGUGGGGGUGUGCAUUAAAAGUGUAGGUUGUCACAGACGAUAUGAUCUCGUGUAUAAAAAAUCCUAAGGAAUCUACUAAAAACUGUCAGAAUAAACAAGUUCAACAAGGCAGUAAGAUGUAAGAUCAAUGUACAAUAAUCAAUUGUAUUUUUAUACAAUUGCGAUAAACAUCCAAAAAUGAAAAUAAGAAAGCAAUUCCACUUAGAAUAACAUCAAAAAAAUAAGACUUAACAAAAAAACUUUUACUCUGGAAACUACAAAAUGUUGUUGAAAGAAAUUAAAGAUCUAAAUAAAAGGAAAAAUAUGCCAUGUUCACCAAUGACUGCCCUGACAGGGAACACAACUGAGAACCCCUGAGGCAGCAGGAGAGCAGUGGGAUGCAGACCCUAAAUUCUCAUAAGACCAGACUUAAUGGCCUGACUGAGACUAGAAGGACCCCAGUGGUCAUGGCCCCCACACCUUCUGUUGGCCCAGGACAGGAACCAUUCCCGAAGCCAACUCUUCAGACAUGGAUUGGACUGGACAAUGGGUUGGAGAGGGAUGCUGGUGAGGAGUGAGCUUCUUGGAUCAGGUGGACACUUGAGACUAUGUUGGCAUCUCCCUGGAGGGGAGAUGAGAGGGUGGAGGAGGUUAGAAGCUGGCGAAAUGGACAUGAAAAGAGAGAGUGGAGGGAGAGAGCCGGCUGUCUCAUUAGGGGGAGAGUAAUCGGGAGUGUGUAGCAAGGUAUAUAUGGGUUUUUGUGUGAGAGACUGACUUGAUUUGUAAACUUUCACUUAACCAAACCAAAACCAAAUCCAGUGCCGUUGAGUCAAUUCCGACUCAUGGCAAUCCUAUAGGACAGAGUAGAACUGCCCCAUAUAGUUUCCAAGGAGCGCCUGGUAGAUUCAAACUGCCAACCCUUUAGUUAGCAGGUGUAGCACUUAACCACUACACCACCAGGGUUUCCAACUUUCAUUUAAAGCACAAUAAAAAUUAAAAAAGAAAAAAAAAAGCCAUGUUCACGAAUGUAAGACUUACUUUGUUUGGAUGGCAAUAACCGCCCCUCCACCCCAAAACUGAUAAAAAGUCAGUGCGAUGCCUAUCAGAAUCCCUAUUAGAAAUUGCCACGUUGGUACGGAUUUGCAAGGGAUCCAGCAUAGCUACAAUCUUGGGAAAAAAAAAAAAAAAAAGCAGGACCCGAUUUCAAUACUUAUUACAAAGCAGAGGUAAUCAGGCAAUGUGGACUGGCAUAAGAACAGACAUACAGAUCAAUGGAACAGAACUGAGAGUCCAGAAGUAAACCCAUGUCUCCGUGGUCAACUAAUUCUGACAAGGAUGAUAAGGUCAUGCAGUGGGGGCGAGGGGAGGGGAAACACUCUUCUCAGCAAAUGGUGCUGUGAUAAUUGGAUAGUCACGUGCAAAAGAAUAAAGUUUGGCCCUUACCUCACACAAUAACUCAAAAUGGAUCAAAGAUUUAAGUGUAUGUGCCAAAGCUAUAAAGUUGUUAGAAGAAAACAAAGGUUUAUGACCUUGAAUUUGGCAAUGGAUUCAUAGAUAUGACACCAAAAUCAUAAGAAACACAAGAAAAACAUAAUAAAUUGCACUUCACUAAAAUUAAAAUUAAAACUUUAUGCAUCAAAGGACAUUACCAAGAAAGUGAAAAGACAACCCACAGAAUGGGAGAAAAUACGUGCAGACCAUAUACCUGACAAGCAGAGAACUCUUAGAAUUCAAUAAUAAAAAGAGCCUAAUUUAAAAAUUGGCAAAAGAUAUAAACUGGUAUUUCUCCAGAGAAGAUAUACAAAUGACCAAUAAACACACGAAUAGACAUCAUUAAUCAUUGUUGUUUCUGUUGUUAGGUGCCACCGAGUCAGUUCCGACUCAUAGAGACCCUAUAGGUCAAAGUAGAGCUGCCCCAUAGGGUUCCUGUGGAGCGGCUGGUGGAUUUGAACUGCUGAUCUUCUGGUUAGAAGUCAAGCUCUUAACCACUGUGCCACCAGGGCUCCUCAUUAGUCAUUAGAGAAAUGUAAAUCAAAACCACAACGAGAUACCCCUUCACACUCACUAGGAUAUAAUCAGAAAGACUGAUAACGUGCUGGCAUGGGUGUGGAAAAAUGUGAACCCUUGUGGACUGCUCGUGGGAAUGUAAAUGGAAUAGCCACUUGGGAAACAGUAUGGCAGGUCCACAAAAUGAUUAACCACAGGAUUACCAUAUGACCUAGCCAUUCCAGUCCUAAGAAUACACCCAAGAGAAAGAAAACAUAUGUCCACACAAAAAUCUGUACACGAAUAUCUGUAGCAGCAUCAUUCAUAAUAGCCAGAAAGUGUAAAUCAACCAAAUGCCCAUCAACUGAUGAACGGAUAAACAAAAUGUGGUACAUCCAGAAAACGGAAUAUUAAGGAAAUGAAGUACUGAUAUCUACUACAAUAUGGAUAAACCUUGAAGAUACUAAGCUUAAUGAAGAAUGCCAAUCACAAAAGACCACAUAUUAUAUGAUUCCCCACGUUAUAUGAUUCCAUUUAUAUGGAAUGUCCAGAAGAGGCAAAUCUAUAGAGACCAAAAGUAUAUUAGUGGUUGCUUAGGGCUGGGGACAAAGAGGGAAAUAGGAGUGUAAUAACUGAAGUGUAGGGGGGUUCUUUUUGAGGUGAAAAAACUGUUCUAAAAUUGACUGUUGUGACGGUAGCACAUAUCUCUGAAUACACUAAAAAUCAUUGAAUUGUACACUUCAAAUAAGUGAAUUACAUGGUAUAAGAAUCAAUGCCCAUGGAAAUAGCAAUCAAGAAAUCAAAUGACGUAUCGCAUUGGGCAAAUCUGCUGCAAAAGACCUCUUUAAAAGUGUUAGAAAGCAAAGAUGUCACUUUGAGGACUAAGGCCUACCUGACCCAAGCCACGGUACUUCCAGUUGCUUCAUAUGCAUGCGAAAGGUGGACAAUGAACAAGGAAGACUGAAGAAGAAUUGAUGUCUUUGAAUUAUGGUAUUGGCGACUAAUACUGAACAUACUGUCGACUGCCAGAAGAAGGAACAAAUCUGUCUUGGAUGAACUACAGCCAGAAUGGCUCCUUAGAAGCAAGGAUGGCAAGACUAUGUCUCACAUACUUUGGCUAUGUUAUAUGGUGGAACCAGUCCCUGGAGAAGGGCAUCACGCUUGGUAAAGUAGAGGGUCAGCAAAAAAAGAGGAAGACCCUAAAUGAGAUGGACUGACACAGUGGCUGUAACAAUAGACUCGAACAUAGCAAUGAUUGUGAGGAUGGUGCAGGACUGGGCACUGUUUUGUUCGGUUGUACACAGGGUCCCUAUGAGUUGGACCCAACUCAACGGCACCUAACAAUG